UACAGAGGGGGCGAGCGUUGUUCGGAAUUACUGGGCGUAAAGGGCGCGUAGGCGGCCUUCUAAGUCGGACGUGAAAUCCCUCGGCUCAACCGGGGAACUGCGUCCGAUACUGGAUGGCUUGAAUUCGGGAGAGGGAUGCGGAAUUCCAGGUGUAGCGGUGAAAUGCGUAGACAUCUGGAGGAACACCGGUGGCGAAGGCGGCAUCCUGGACCGAGAUUGACGCUGAUGCGCGAAAGCCAGGGGAGCAAACGGG
This 253-nucleotide ribosomal RNA is filed under the name uncultured bacterium. Its description in RNAcentral is "partial 16S ribosomal RNA". It matches the Rfam family "Bacterial small subunit ribosomal RNA", at positions 524 to 776 of the family's 1533-position model. The record is from RNAcentral.